GAUGGUGACGUGUCGGUGGCGUGGGAAAUACUGAAGGGGUGGGGUUGGUCCGGUUUGAUUGGGGUUAAAGGGAGCGUAGGCCGUAGAUUAAACGAGAGGAGAAAGGGAUACGCGCAACGUGUGAACUGCAGCGCGAACUUGUGUCCUUGUGUAGGAACAAAGCCGGCGGAAUUCGUGGUGUAGCGGUGAAAUGCUUAGAUAUCACGAAGAACUCCGAUUGCGAAGGCUGCUCACUGGCGCGCAACAGACGCUGAAGCUCGAAAGUGCGCGUAUCCAACAGGAGUAGAUACCCGAGUAGUC
RNAcentral lists this ribosomal RNA (300 nucleotides) under uncultured Methanocella sp. RNAcentral describes it as "partial 16S ribosomal RNA". It matches the Rfam family "Bacterial small subunit ribosomal RNA", at positions 496 to 795 of the family's 1533-position model. The record is from RNAcentral. Lineage: Archaea; Methanobacteriati; Methanobacteriota; Methanomicrobia; Methanocellales; Methanocellaceae.